UACGUAGGACCCAAGCGUUGUCCGGAAUUACUGGGUGUAAAGGGUGCGUAGGCGGGCUUGCGCGUCGGAGGUUAAAGACCACAGCUUAACUGCGGAAGUGCCUCCGAUACGGUGAGUCUUGAAUUCGAGAGAGGUAAGUAGAAUUCCUGGUGUAGCGGUGAAAUGCGUAGAUAUCAGGAGGAAUACCAGUGGCGAAGGCGGCUUACUGGCUCGACAUUGACGCUGAGGCACGAAAGCGUGGGGAUCAAACAGG
RNAcentral lists this ribosomal RNA (253 nucleotides) under uncultured bacterium. Its description in RNAcentral is "partial 16S ribosomal RNA". It matches the Rfam family "Bacterial small subunit ribosomal RNA", at positions 524 to 776 of the family's 1533-position model. The record is from RNAcentral.